CCUACGGGAGGCAGCAGUGGGGAAUAUUGGACAAUGGGGGCAACCCUGAUCCAGCCAUGCCGCGUGUGUGAAGAAGGCCCUCGGGUUGUAAAGCACUUUCAGUGAGGAAGAACGCCUGGUGGUUAAUACCCUUCAGGAAAGACAUCACUCACAGAAGAAGCACCGGCUAACUCCGUGCCAGCAGCCGCGGUAAUACGGAGGGUGCGAGCGUUAAUCGGAAUUACUGGGCGUAAAGCGCGCGUAGGUGGCUUGAUAAGCCGGUUGUGAAAGCCCCGGGCUCAACCUGGGAACGGCAUCCGGAACUGUCAAGCUAGAGUGCAGGAGAGGAAGGUAGAAUUCCCGGUGUAGCGGUGAAAUGCGUAGAGAUCGGGAGGAAUACCAGUGGCGAAGGCGGCCUUCUGGACUGACACUGACACUGAGGUGCGAAAGCGUGGGUAGCAAACAGGAUUAGAUACCCCUGUAGUC
Molecule: ribosomal RNA, 465 nt
Filed under: Vreelandella stevensii
Lineage: Bacteria; Pseudomonadati; Pseudomonadota; Gammaproteobacteria; Oceanospirillales; Halomonadaceae
Description: partial 16S ribosomal RNA
Rfam family: Bacterial small subunit ribosomal RNA
Source: RNAcentral